This 495-nucleotide ribosomal RNA is filed under the name uncultured bacterium. RNAcentral's name for it is "partial 16S ribosomal RNA". It matches the Rfam family "Bacterial small subunit ribosomal RNA", at positions 28 to 507 of the family's 1533-position model. The record is from RNAcentral.
GACGAACGCUGGCGGCGUGCCUAAUACAUGCAAGUAGAACGCUGAAGGAGGAGCUUGCUUCUCUGGAUGAGUUGCGAACGGGUGAGUAACGCGUAGGUAACCUGCCUGGUAGCGGGGGAUAACUAUUGGAAACGAUAGCUAAUACCGCAUAAGUGUAGAUGUUGCAUGACAUUUGCUUAAAAGGUGCAAUUGCAUCACUACCAGAUGGACCUGCGUUGUAUUAGCUAGUUGGUGGGGUAACGGCUCACCAAGGCGACGAUACAUAGCCGACCUGAGAGGGUGAUCGGCCACACUGGGACUGAGACACGGCCCAGACUCCUACGGGAGGCAGCAGUAGGGAAUCUUCGGCAAUGGACGGAAGUCUGACCGAGCAACGCCGCGUGAGUGAAGAAGGUUUUCGGAUCGUAAAGCUCUGUUGUAAGAGAAGAACGAGUGUGAGAGUGGAAAGCUCACACUGUGACGGUAUCUUACCAGAAAGGGACGGCUAACUACGUG